This 468-nucleotide ribosomal RNA is filed under the name uncultured bacterium. RNAcentral describes it as "partial 16S ribosomal RNA". It matches the Rfam family "Bacterial small subunit ribosomal RNA", at positions 28 to 507 of the family's 1533-position model. The record is from RNAcentral.
GACGAACGCUGGCGGCGUGCUUAACACAUGCAAGUCGAACGGAAAGGCCCUGCUUUUGUGGGGUGCUCGAGUGGCGAACGGGUGAGUAACACGUGAGUAACCUGCCCUUGACUUUGGGAUAACUUCAGGAAACUGGGGCUAAUACCGGAUAGGAGCUCCUGCUGCAUGGUGUGGGUUGGAAAGUUUCGGCGGUUGUGGAUGGACUCGCGGCUUAUCAGCUUGUUGGGGGGGUAGUGGCUUACCAAGGCUUUGACGGGUAGCCGGCCUGAGAGGGGUACCGGCCACAUUGCGACUGAGAUACGGCGCAGACUCCUACGGGAGGCAGUAGGGGGGAGUAUUGCACAAUGGGCGGAAGCCUGAGGCAGAAACGCCGCGUGCGGGAUGACGGCCUUCGGGUUGUAAACCGCUUUCGCAUGUGACGAAGCGUGAGUGACGGUAAUGGGUAAAGAAGCACCGGCUAACUACGUG